This 561-nucleotide ribosomal RNA is filed under the name Nakaseomyces glabratus. RNAcentral's name for it is "[Candida] glabrata partial large subunit ribosomal RNA". It matches the Rfam family "Eukaryotic large subunit ribosomal RNA", at positions 88 to 655 of the family's 3401-position model. The record is from RNAcentral. Lineage: Eukaryota; Fungi; Ascomycota; Saccharomycetes; Saccharomycetales; Saccharomycetaceae.
GGCGAGUGAGCGGCAAAAGCUCAAAUUUGAAAUCUGGUACCUUUGGUGCCCGAGUUGUAAUUUGGAGAGUACCACUUUGGGACUGUACUUUGCCUAUGUUCCUUGGAACAGGACGUCAUGGAGGGUGAGAAUCCCGUGUGGCGAGGGUGUCAGUUCUUUGUAAAGGGUGCUCGAAGAGUCGAGUUGUUUGGGAAUGCAGCUCUAAGUGGGUGGUAAAUUCCAUCUAAAGCUAAAUACAGGCGAGAGACCGAUAGCGAACAAGUACAGUGAUGGAAAGAUGAAAAGAACUUUGAAAAGAGAGUGAAAAAGUACGUGAAAUUGUUGAAAGGGAAGGGCAUUUGAUCAGACAUGGUGUUUUGCGCCCCUUGCCUCUCGUGGGCUUGGGACUCUCGCAGCUCACUGGGCCAGCAUCGGUUUUGGCGGCCGGAAAAAACCUAGGGAAUGUGGCUCUGCGCCUCGGUGUAGAGUGUUAUAGCCCUGGGGAAUACGGCCAGCCGGGACCGAGGACUGCGAUACUUGUUAUCUAGGAUGCUGGCAUAAUGGUUAUAUGCCGCCCGUCUU